AAAGGGAGACCUAAUUCGGGUAGGAGACGAGAAAAAAGUAGUCCCUACCAAGAAUCAAUCCCAAAAGGUCGGAGCGAGGCGAAAUUGGCUUUCAAACUAGGUUCUGGGUUCACACAAGACCUGAAUCAGGAACAAGGGCUAUUAGCUCAGGUGGUUAGAGCGCACCCCUGAUAAGGGUGAGGUCCCUGGUUCGAGUCCAGGAUGGCCCACCUGCACAGGUGGCAAAAACAAAGAAAAAAAGCUCCGAAUCAGCACCUUAUCUUACUUAUAUAGUAAGAGAGAAUGCUGGCUCUGAGUACAGAGUCCAGAGGAACCUUGAAAACUGCAUAGAGCUAGGUGAAAAAGCCAAAAAAGAAGACCGCCAG
RNAcentral lists this transfer RNA (365 nucleotides) under uncultured Microcystis sp. RNAcentral describes it as "partial 16S-23S ribosomal RNA intergenic spacer". The stretch from base 136 to 209 matches the Rfam family "tRNA". Lineage: Bacteria; Bacillati; Cyanobacteriota; Cyanophyceae; Chroococcales; Microcystaceae. The record is from RNAcentral.